Molecule: ribosomal RNA, 253 nt
Filed under: uncultured bacterium
Lineage: Bacteria
Description: partial 16S ribosomal RNA
Rfam family: Bacterial small subunit ribosomal RNA
Source: RNAcentral
UACGUAGGGUGCGAGCGUUAAUCGGAAUUACUGGGCGUAAAGCGUGCGCAGGCGGCUUUGCAAGACAGAUGUGAAAACCCCGGGCUCAACCUGGGAACUGCAUUUGUGACUGCAAGGCUAGAGUACGGCAGAGGGGGAUGGAAUUCCGCGUGUAGCAGUGAAAUGCGUAGAUAUGCGGAGGAACACCAAUGGCGAAGGCAAUCCCCUGGGCCUGUACUGACGCUCAUGCACGAAAGCGUGGGGAGCAAACAGG